GGCGCUAUGGCUUAGUUGGUUAAAGCGCCUGUCUAGUAAACAGGAGAUCCUGGGUUCGAAUCUCAGUGGUGCCU
RNAcentral lists this transfer RNA (74 nucleotides) under Saccoglossus kowalevskii. Its description in RNAcentral is "tRNA-Thr". It matches the Rfam family "tRNA". Rfam says of the family: Transfer RNA (tRNA) molecules are approximately 80 nucleotides in length. Their secondary structure includes four short double-helical elements and three loops (D, anti-codon, and T loops). Further hydrogen bonds mediate the characteristic L-shaped molecular structure. tRNAs have two regions of fundamental functional importance: the anti-codon, which is responsible for specific mRNA codon recognition, and the 3' end, to which the tRNAs corresponding amino acid is attached (by aminoacyl-tRNA synthetases). tRNAs cope with the degeneracy of the genetic code in two manners: having more than one tRNA (with a specific anti-codon) for a particular amino acid; and 'wobble' base-pairing, i.e. permitting non-standard base-pairing at the 3rd anti-codon position. The record is from RNAcentral. Lineage: Eukaryota; Metazoa; Hemichordata; Enteropneusta; Harrimaniidae.